Long non-coding RNA from Motacilla alba alba, 446 nucleotides. RefSeq lists it as uncharacterized. The transcript is spliced from 2 exons. The record is from RefSeq and is a predicted model, not a curated record. Lineage: Eukaryota; Metazoa; Chordata; Aves; Passeriformes; Motacillidae.
GGAGCGGCUCCGCGCUCAGGGAUCCGGGAUCCGGGAUGCGGGGUGUGGCCCGGAGCCCUGAGCACAACUGCCGUUCAGGAAAAGGAAAAAACAUUGCAGAGAAUGAAGAGAAAAAAAAUGUUAUAAAGCGCUUUCAAAAUAUAAAUAACGGCGUUUGAGGAAAUCUUGCUGAAGGAACAGGAUGCGCGUGGAGGUGAAGAAUUCAAAUACAAGUGCUGUGCUAAGUAUAAUCAGUAAUGAAAGCUCAGCCCUUCCUCUUAGGAUUUGGAUAAGCUACGUGUUGGCAGUACUUCCCAAAUUCCAGGGAACAAAAAGCAAGCUUUAAAUGUUGUCUUAAAGUCUCGUUGGAGUGUAGUUUGUUUAUCAUUACCACUUGUAAUGCUGUCCAUCUAUUUUUGCGAGACUGGACUUCAAAUACACAAUAGAAUAAAUGAAAAUCUACUGAA